Molecule: ribosomal RNA, 224 nt
Filed under: uncultured Pseudomonas sp.
Lineage: Bacteria; Pseudomonadati; Pseudomonadota; Gammaproteobacteria; Pseudomonadales; Pseudomonadaceae
Description: partial 16S ribosomal RNA
Rfam family: Bacterial small subunit ribosomal RNA
Source: RNAcentral
AAACCGGAGGAAGGUGGGGAUGACGUCAAGUCAUCACUGGCCCUUACGGCCUGGGCUACACACGUGCUACAAUGGUCGGUACAAAGGGUUGCCAAGCCGCGAGGUGGAGCUAAUCCCAUAAAACCGAUCGUAGUCCGGAUCGCAGUCUGCAACUCGACUGCGUGAAGUCGGAAUCGCUAGUAAUCGUGAAUCAGAAUGUCACGGUGAAUACGUUCCCGGGCCUU